GGCCUGUCCAUCCGCAAUGGACGCUGGGAGAUUGAGUUCCCUGUGAGGAAGAGCGAUCGCUAUUCGUGAUCUGUUCCAGCUACGAUUCUGACUUCAGAUUCCUAAUUGUUGGCUCUGAUAUCGGAUUGCAGACUCAAUACUUCUGUGCUCAUUCAUGUCAUAAGAAUGCAGUGGGUAUCAGCAUUUCGAAGGUGAAAGGGGCUCGGAAUGCAUGAGCUGAAAUCUAUGAUCCAAUGUUGACUUGUUCAGAGCUACAACCACCUAUGGGCAUCCUUCUUUAUUGGCCUUGCCUUUGUCAGGGGACCACCUAUGGAUUCAUCUCUGCAGCUAGGAGGGCAACGUUCACUCCCAGUGAUCACUUCAGAGCUGAGGGAAGAGAAGGGGCCAGUUCCAGGAGAAUUAGGAGCCAGAAGAAGGCAGGUAGCUUCACAGCUGGAACAGAUGUUCUGCCUUGGGCCUGCCCAACAGGAAAAAUAUGCAGAGGUUCCGAAAAAAAGAAAAAAAUAUGCAGAGAAAAGCAUCACGCCUAUUAAACAUUUCAGAGUAUGCUCCCUAAGAACAAAGUUGCCAGAAGAAGCAAAAAACGCAAUCAUGGAAAACAGGAAUGAGCGUGAGGCAACAGCUCUGUUUGAGCCACGGUCCACAGUUACAUGUUAUCAAUCUCUCCAAUGUUUUCCAGUUGAGUGUAUAAUCCAAGAUGGUGUGUCUGUGUUUAUCCCUGUCUCCCCAUUCCCCUUUAAUCUGAAACAGUUAAACAUCUUUUCAGUCUUCCUCCAACUUGACAUUUUUUUCUGUCUAUCUUGAACUUGACAUUUGGAAGGUUCUCUAGGCCAGUUACUUUGUAAAUGUCUUUCGGUUUGUUUUAUCUGAUGUUUCCUUGUUCAGAAGCCAACCUUACACUUCUUACAAAAGAAUGGAAUAAAAGCUACAUCCUUGGUGAUUGUCCUCGGGCAUGUGACACAAAUUUUUCAGAAAUAAUCAUAAUGUUAUUAUAAAUGAUAAUGGCUAACAAAGAAACAGAUGUCAGUAACAAUAUCAGAAAGUAAAAUAUUUUA
This is a long non-coding RNA of Rattus norvegicus (Norway rat), 1055 nucleotides long. RefSeq lists it as uncharacterized. The record is from RefSeq and is a predicted model, not a curated record. NCBI's taxonomy places the organism in Eukaryota, Metazoa, Chordata, Mammalia, Rodentia, Muridae.